CAGAGCGUGGCUGAGAAAACCAAGCAUCUCCCUUACACCGAGAAGACAUUCAUGCGAACUGAAUCACUCUGA
This 72-nucleotide transfer RNA is filed under the name Brachyhypopomus beebei. RNAcentral describes it as "tRNA-Val". The record is from RNAcentral. Lineage: Eukaryota; Metazoa; Chordata; Actinopteri; Gymnotiformes; Hypopomidae.